GGGAUGGUUAAUGGGUACAAAAAAAUAGAAAGAAUGAAUAAGACCUACUGUUUGCUAGCACAACAGAGUACAAAAAUAAAAAAAACUUGAAAUGUACAUUU
Long non-coding RNA from Nomascus leucogenys (northern white-cheeked gibbon), 101 nucleotides. RefSeq lists it as uncharacterized. The record is from RefSeq and is a predicted model, not a curated record. NCBI's taxonomy places the organism in Eukaryota, Metazoa, Chordata, Mammalia, Primates, Hylobatidae. The transcript is spliced from 3 exons.